This 208-nucleotide ribosomal RNA is filed under the name uncultured Chlorobaculum sp. Its description in RNAcentral is "partial 16S ribosomal RNA". It matches the Rfam family "Bacterial small subunit ribosomal RNA", at positions 568 to 775 of the family's 1533-position model. The record is from RNAcentral. Lineage: Bacteria; Pseudomonadati; Chlorobiota; Chlorobiia; Chlorobiales; Chlorobiaceae.
UGCGCAGGCGGAUUAAUAAGUCGGGGGUUAAAUCCAUGUGCUUAACACAUGCACGGCUUCCGAUACUGUUGAUCUAGAGUCUCGAAGAGGAAGGUGGAAUUUCCGGUGUAACGGUGGAAUGUGUAGAUAUCGGAAAGAACACCAGUGGCGAAGGCAGCCUUCUGGUCGAGUACUGACGCUCAUGCACGAAAGCGUGGGGAGUAAACAG